RNAcentral lists this ribosomal RNA (495 nucleotides) under uncultured bacterium. RNAcentral's name for it is "partial 16S ribosomal RNA". It matches the Rfam family "Bacterial small subunit ribosomal RNA", at positions 28 to 506 of the family's 1533-position model. The record is from RNAcentral.
GAUGAACGCUGGCGGCGUGCCUAAUACAUGCAAGUAGAACGCUGAAGGAGGAGCUUGCUCUUUCCGGAUGAGUUGCGAACGGGUGAGUAACGCGUAGGUAACCUGCCUGGUAGCGGGGGAUAACUAUUGGAAACGAUAGCUAAUACCGCAUAACAGUAGAUAUUGCAUGAUAUUUGCUUGAAAGGGGCAAUUGCUCCACUACCAGAUGGACCUGCGUUGUAUUAGCUAGUUGGUGAGGUAACGGCUCACCAAGGCGACGAUACAUAGCCGACCUGAGAGGGUGAUCGGCCACACUGGGACUGAGACACGGCCCAGACUCCUACGGGAGGCAGCAGUAGGGAAUCUUCGGCAAUGGACGGAAGUCUGACCGAGCAACGCCGCGUGAGUGAAGAAGGUUUUCGGAUCGUAAAGCUCUGUUGUAAGAGAAGAACGAGUGUGAGAGUGGAAAGUUCACACUGUGACGGUAUCUUACCAGAAAGGGACGGCUAACUACGU